Molecule: long non-coding RNA, 417 nt
Filed under: Citrus maxima (pomelo)
Lineage: Eukaryota; Viridiplantae; Streptophyta; Magnoliopsida; Sapindales; Rutaceae
Description: long non-coding RNA (CMAX_LNC003291)
Source: RNAcentral
GGCACUCUAGUUACAAAAGCAAGAAAGAAAUUAAAGAGAAAAUUGAAAAUGAGUCCUCUUUAUUCUCUUACAUUGGCUAUAAAUGUCAUUUCCAUCUUCAUCUUCUUCCUUUUGCUCUCUUACUCCAUGCGUGUUGAUGGUUCAAGGAUGCUGCAUGUGCAUGAUCAUCAAUCUAAUUCCCUUCCAUCAAUAUUAAAGGGUUUAGGCAUGGCUUACUCUGGGCCAAGCCACGAUGGUCGCGGGCACUGACAGGCACCGUAACGUGUUUUGGUACUUAACGCAUUAUACAAUUACUACUUUAAUAUGACUCUAUAAUAAGCUAGCGUUACUUCUCAGAACAAUAAUAAGUGCAUAUGCAUAUGUGUAUGAAGAAAAAUGCCAAAGAAAUUGAAGCCCAAUAGAACGCUGACAAAAAUA